GCCAGGCGUGGUGGUGCGUGCCUGUAGUCCCAGCUACUCGGGAGGCUGACGUUGGAGGAUUGCUUGAGCUCAGGAGUUCUGGGCUGUAAUGGGCUAUGCUGGUGUCUGCACUAAAUUCGGGAUCAAUAUGGUGACCUCUUGGGAGCAGGGGACCGCUAGGUUGCCUAAGGAAGGGUGAAUCAGCUCAGGUUGGAAAUGGAGCAGGUCAAAAACUCCCGUGCUGACCAGUAGUGGGAUCACGCCUAUGAAUAGCCACUGUACUCCAGCCUGGGCAACAUAGUGAGACUCCUGUCU
Molecule: signal recognition particle RNA, 294 nt
Filed under: Saimiri boliviensis boliviensis (Bolivian squirrel monkey)
Lineage: Eukaryota; Metazoa; Chordata; Mammalia; Primates; Cebidae
Description: Metazoan signal recognition particle RNA (ENSSBOG00000010150.1)
Rfam family: Metazoan signal recognition particle RNA
About the family: The signal recognition particle (SRP) is a universally conserved ribonucleoprotein. It is involved in the co-translational targeting of proteins to membranes.
Source: RNAcentral